This 1353-nucleotide ribosomal RNA is filed under the name metagenome. RNAcentral's name for it is "bacterial SSU rRNA". It matches the Rfam family "Eukaryotic small subunit ribosomal RNA", at positions 603 to 1718 of the family's 1831-position model. The record is from RNAcentral.
ACUAAUGUUGCUGCUGUUAAAACGCUCGUAGUUGGACUCAGAGAUGGAGGUUGCAGUGAGGCCCUCUGCGGCUGGAGCUGUUGCGCCCCCGGGUGUGACGAUCCAACCGCAUUGCGGAACAAACCCACUGCGUUCGACCUUCACUCUUCACGCGCGGAACCAUUGGGGCUGUGGAAACCUCCUUGAUUGGUGGUAGAAGCGCUUCCGCAUUCAACACAUGCAUAUGCCCCUGUCCGUGGAGGUUACUGUGAACAAAACAGCGUGUCCAAAGCAACCACAUGUCUGGCUGAAUGAUCUAGCAUGGAAUAACAAGGCAUCGACCACUGGAGUCAGCCUUUUUGUUGGUUUUACAUGACCUAGUUGGGCAAUGCAGGGCUUGUGCUUCAUUGAGGUUCUUAGUCAGCUCUACCGAACUGUCUUCCCUCAGUUGGACCUUGUUCCCUAUCGGGAUCAAUGGAAGCCAUCGGGGUGGUAUGUAUUCCGACGUGAGCGGUGAAAUGCUUAGACCGUUGGAAGACAAACGACAGCGAAGGCAUUCCGCCAGAAUGUUUUCAUUAAUCAAGAACGAGAGUGUGGGGAUCGAAGAUGAUCAGAUACCAUCGUAGUCCAUUACCGUAAACUAUGCCAACUCGGCAUUGGGAGUCUGUUCACUUUGAAGACUCUCCCAGCAUCAUCCCCCAAUAACGAGAAAUCCAAGUCUAUGGGUUCAGGGGGGAGUACAGUCGCAAGGCUGAAACUUAAAGGAAUUGACGGAAUGACACCACAAGGCGUGGAGUAUGCGGCUUAAUUUGACCCAACACGGGGAAGCUUACCAGGUCAGACACAGUAAGGAUUGACAGAUUGAGAGCUCUUUCUUGAUCCUAUGGAUGGUGGUGCAUGGCCGUUUCUGGUUCGUGGAGUGAUCUGUCUGCUUAAUUGCGAUAACGAACGAGAUCUCUACCUCUAAAUAGGCGCCGGUCUCGCAUGUAAGUAGGGAUGUGUUGGGGGCCUUCGUGUCCCCUCAUGUCCUGAGAGUGCCGGGAUCGCUUCUUAGACGGACUGUGCAUGUCUUUAAUGCACGGAAGAGGGAGUCAAUAGCAGGUCUGUGAUGCUCCUAGAUGUUCUGGGCUGCACGCGCACUACACUGGCACAGUAAACGAGUUGCACCUGCUUCGGCAGUCCUGCUUAGAAGUGAGCGUGGGAAAUCUUAGAAAACUGUGCCGUGCUGGGGAUAGAUGAUUGCGAUUAUUUGUCUUGAACGAGGAAUGCCUAGUAGAGGUACUUCAUCAGAGUACCUUGAUUGUGUCCCUGCCAUUUGUACACACCGCCCGUCGUUGCUACCGAUUGGCUGUAAAAUAGAGGCCUUAAGAGUCG